GGGAUCCGGCUUAGCCAUGCAAGUUUGUCCGCAAGGACGGCAGAAUGCUCAGUAACACGUCAUUAACCUACCUUUAGGUUCGGGAUAACCUCGGAAAACUGAGGAUAAUACCGAAUAAGGAUAUUUUCUGGAAGGAUGUUUCCUUAAAAGAUUGCGCCUAAAGAUGGGAUGGCGGUCGAUUAGGUUGUUGGUGGUGUAAUGGACCACCAAGCCGAAGAUCGAUAGGGGCCUUGAGAGAGGUUGCCCCGAGAAGGGUACUGAGACACUGACCCUAGCCCUACGGGGUGCAGCAGGCGUGAAUUCUUUACAAUGCACGAAAGUGUGAUAAGGGGAUCCCAAGUGCUUAUGCUUAGCAUAGGCUUUUAUUAAGGGUAAAAACCUUAAUGAAUAAGUGGUGGGAAAGACUGGUGCCAGCCGCCGCGGUAACACCAGCGCCACGAGUGGAGAUCGUUUUUAUUGGGUCUAAAGCGUCCGUAGCCGGUUUAGUAAAUCCUUUGUGAAAUUGUCAGGCUUAACUUGACAUCGUGCAGGGGACACUGCAAAACUAGAGACCGGGAGGAGUUAGAAGUAUUCUGGGGGGAGCGGUAAAAUGCAUUAAUCCUCAGAAGACUACCUGUGGCGAAGGCGUCUAACUAGAACGGAUCUGACGGUGAGGGACGAAGGCCAGGGGAGCAAACCGGAUUAGAUACCCGAGUAGUCCUGGCAGUAAACGCUGUGAGCUAGGUGUUGCGUAUUCUCCGUGAAUGCGCAGUAUCGUAAUGAAGAUGUUAAGCUCACCACCUGGGGAGUACGGUCGCAAGACUGAAACUUAAAGGAAUUGGCGGGGGAGCACUACAAGGGGUGCGGCGUGCGGUUUAAUCUAAUUUAACACAGAGAAUCUCACCAGGGGCGACGGCAGUAUGAAGGUCAGUCUAAAGGGCUUACCUGACGAGCCGAGAGGUAGUGCAUGGCCGCCGCCAGCUCGUGCCGUAAGGUGUCCUGUUAAGUCAGGCAACGAGCGAGACCUGCACCUGCAGUUGUUAGCAACUCCAUCAGGAGGAUUGAACACACUGCGGGGACUGCCCUGGAAACAGGGAGGAAGGUGCAGGCAACGGUAGGUCUGUAUGCUCCGAAUCCACUGGGCUACACGCGCGCAACAAUGGUAGAGACAACGGGAUGCGACUCCGAAAGGAGGAGCUAAACCUCCAAACUCUAUCUUAGUUCAGAUCGAGGAUUGUAACUCAUCCUCGUGACGAUGGAAUCCCUAGUAAUCGUGUUUUAUCAGAAGACGGUGAAUAUGUCCCUGCUCCUUGCACACACCGCCCGUCAAACCAUCCGAGCAGGGUCUAGAUGAGGCUUGAUUUUUUUGAUCACGUCAAAUCUAGGCUCAGUGAGGGGGGUUAAGUCGUCACAAGGUA
Molecule: ribosomal RNA, 1397 nt
Filed under: metagenome
Description: bacterial SSU rRNA
Rfam family: Archaeal small subunit ribosomal RNA
Source: RNAcentral